Molecule: ribosomal RNA, 2060 nt
Filed under: Salmonella enterica
Lineage: Bacteria; Pseudomonadati; Pseudomonadota; Gammaproteobacteria; Enterobacterales; Enterobacteriaceae
Description: partial 23S ribosomal RNA
Rfam family: Bacterial large subunit ribosomal RNA
Source: RNAcentral
UCAUCUCCGGGGGUAGAGCACUGUUUCGGCUAGGGGGCCAUCCCGGCUUACCAACCCGAUGCAAACUGCGAAUACCGGAGAAUGUUAUCACGGGAGACACACGGCGGGUGCUAACGUCCGUCGUGAAGAGGGAAACAACCCAGACCGCCAGCUAAGGUCCCAAAGUCAUGGUUAAGUGGGAAACGAUGUGGGAAGGCCCAGACAGCCAGGAUGUUGGCUUAGAAGCAGCCAUCAUUUAAAGAAAGCGUAAUAGCUCACUGGUCGAGUCGGCCUGCGCGGAAGAUGUAACGGGGCUAAACCAUGCACCGAAGCUGCGGCAGCGACGCUGAUGCGUUGUUGGGUAGGGGAGCGUUCUGUAAGCCUGCGAAGGUGGCCUGUGAGGGUUGCUGGAGGUAUCAGAAGUGCGAAUGCUGACAUAAGUAACGAUAAAGCGGGUGAAAAGCCCGCUCGCCGGAAGACCAAGGGUUCCUGUCCAACGUUAAUCGGGGCAGGGUGAGUCGACCCCUAAGGCGAGGCCGAAAGGCGUAGUCGAUGGGAAACGGGUUAAUAUUCCCGUACUUGGUGUUACUGCGAAGGGGGGACGGAGAAGGCUAUGUUGGCCGGGCGACGGUUGUCCCGGUUUAAGCGUGUAGGUGUGUGUUCCAGGUAAAUCCGGUUCACUUUAACACUGAGGCGUGAUGACGAGGCACUACGGUGCUGAAGCAACAAAUGCCCUGCUUCCAGGAAAAGCCUCUAAGCAUCAGGUAACAUCAAAUCGUACCCCAAACCGACACAGGUGGUCAGGUAGAGAAUACCAAGGCGCUUGAGAGAACUCGGGUGAAGGAACUAGGCAAAAUGGUGCCGUAACUUCGGGAGAAGGCACGCUGACACGUAGGUGAAGUGAUUUACUCAUGGAGCUGAAGUCAGUCGAAGAUACCAGCUGGCUGCAACUGUUUAUUAAAAACACAGCACUGUGCAAACACGAAAGUGGACGUAUACGGUGUGACGCCUGCCCGGUGCCGGAAGGUUAAUUGAUGGGGUCAGCGCAAGCGAAGCUCCUGAUCGAAGCCCCGGUAAACGGCGGCCGUAACUAUAACGGUCCUAAGGUAGCGAAAUUCCUUGUCGGGUAAGUUCCGACCUGCACGAAUGGCGUAAUGAUGGCCAGGCUGUCUCCACCCGAGACUCAGUGAAAUUGAACUCGCUGUGAAGAUGCAGUGUACCCGCGGCAAGACGGAAAGACCCCGUGAACCUUUACUAUAGCUUGACACUGAACAUUGAGCCUUGAUGUGUAGGAUAGGUGGGAGGCUUUGAAGUGUGGACGCCAGUCUGCAUGGAGCCGACCUUGAAAUACCACCCUUUAAUGUUUGAUGUUCUAACGUGGACCCGUGAUCCGGGUUGCGGACAGUGUCUGGUGGGUAGUUUGACUGGGGCGGUCUCCUCCUAAAGAGUAACGGAGGAGCACGAAGGUUGGCUAAUCCUGGUCGGACAUCAGGAGGUUAGUGCAAUGGCAUAAGCCAGCUUGACUGCGAGCGUGACGGCGCGAGCAGGUGCGAAAGCAGGUCAUAGUGAUCCGGUGGUUCUGAAUGGAAGGGCCAUCGCUCAACGGAUAAAAGGUACUCCGGGGAUAACAGGCUGAUACCGCCCAAGAGUUCAUAUCGACGGCGGUGUUUGGCACCUCGAUGUCGGCUCAUCACAUCCUGGGGCUGAAGUAGGUCCCAAGGGUAUGGCUGUUCGCCAUUUAAAGUGGUACGCGAGCUGGGUUUAGAACGUCGUGAGACAGUUCGGUCCCUAUCUGCCGUGGGCGCUGGAGAACUGAGGGGGGCUGCUCCUAGUACGAGAGGACCGGAGUGGACGCAUCACUGGUGUUCGGGUUGUCAUGCCAAUGGCACUGCCCGGUAGCUAAAUGCGGAAGAGAUAAGUGCUGAAAGCAUCUAAGCACGAAACUUGCCCCGAGAUGAGUUCUCCCUGAGACUUUAGGUCUCCUGAAGGAACGUUGAAGACGACGACGUUGAUAGGCCGGGUGUGUAAGCGCAGCGAUGCGUUGAGCUAACCGGUACUAAUGAACCGUGAGGCUUAACCUU